RNAcentral lists this ribosomal RNA (411 nucleotides) under uncultured bacterium. RNAcentral's name for it is "partial 16S ribosomal RNA". It matches the Rfam family "Bacterial small subunit ribosomal RNA", at positions 355 to 758 of the family's 1533-position model. The record is from RNAcentral.
UGGGGAAUAUUGCACAAUGGGCGCAAGCCUGAUGCAGCCAUGCCGCGUGUGUGAAGAAGGCCUUCGGGUUGUAAAGCACUUUCAGCGAGGAGGAAGGUGGUGACUUAAUACGUCAUCAAUUGACGUUACUCGCAGAAGAAGCACCGGCUAACUCCGUGCCAGCAGCCGCGGUAAUACGGAGGGUGCAAGCGUUAAUCGGAAUUACUGGGCGUAAAGCGCACGCAGGCGGUUUGUUAAGUCAGAUGUGAAAUCCCCGGGCUCAACCUGGGAACUGCAUUUGAAACUGGCAAGCUAGAGUCUCGUAGAGGGGGGUAGAAUUUCCAGGUGUAGCGGUGAAAUGCGUAGAGAUCUGGAGGAAUACCGGUGGCGAAGGCGGCCCCCCUGGACGAAGACUGACGCUCAGGUGCGAAA